CCAGACUCCUACGGGAGGCAGCAGUGAGGAAUAUUGGUCAAUGGCCGCAGGGCUGAACCAGCCAAGUCGCGUGAGGGAUGACGGUCCUAUGGAUUGUAAACCUCUUUUGUCAGGGAGCAAAGGGCGCCACGUGUGGCGUUUUGCGAGUACCUGAAGAAAAAGCAUCGGCUAACUCCGUGCCAGCAGCCGCGGUAAUACGGAGGAUGCGAGCGUUAUCCGGAUUUAUUGGGUUUAAAGGGUGCGCAGGCGGAGGUGCAAGUCAGCGGUCAAAUUGCGGGGCUCAACCCCGUACUGCCGUUGAAACUGCAUCCCUUGAGUGCGCGAGAAGUAUGCGGAAUGCGUGGUGUAGCGGUGAAAUGCAUAGAUAUCACGCAGAACUCCGAUUGCGAAGGCAGCAUACCGGCGCGCAACUGACGCUCAUGCACGAAAGCGUGGGUAUCGAACAGGAUUAGAUACCCCUGUA
RNAcentral lists this ribosomal RNA (463 nucleotides) under uncultured bacterium. RNAcentral describes it as "bacterial SSU rRNA". It matches the Rfam family "Bacterial small subunit ribosomal RNA", at positions 331 to 792 of the family's 1533-position model. The record is from RNAcentral.